RNAcentral lists this ribosomal RNA (440 nucleotides) under uncultured bacterium. RNAcentral describes it as "partial 16S ribosomal RNA". It matches the Rfam family "Bacterial small subunit ribosomal RNA", at positions 339 to 795 of the family's 1533-position model. The record is from RNAcentral.
CUACGGGGGGCUCCAGUGAGGAAUAUUGCACAAUGGGGGGAACCCUGAUGCAGCAACGCCGCGUGGAGGAUGACGCAUUUCGGUGUGUAAACUCCUUUUAUAUGUCAAGAAAAUGACGGUAGCAUAUGAAUAAGCACCGGCUAACUCCGUGGCCAGCAGCCGCGGUAAUACGGAGGGUGCAAGCGUUACUCGGAAUCACUGGGCGUAAAGGACGCGUAGGCGGGUUGGAAAGUCAGGUGUGAAAUCCUACAGCUUAACUGUAGAACUGCACUUGAAACUUCUAAUCUAGAGUAUGGGAGGGGGAGAUGGAAUUAGUGGUGUAGGGGUAAAAGCCGUAGAUAUCACUAGGAAUACCUAAAGCGAAGGCGAUCUCCUGGAACAUUACUGACGCUAAGGCGUGAAAGCGUGGGGAGCAAACAGGAUUAGAUACCCCCGUAGUC